UCUGCCCCUAGAAGCCCUGGAGGUUUGGCUGUUGUCAUUUGCACCAGUAGGUGGCAGAGAGGAGAGAGGCUAUGUCUAUCCUCAGUGUUCUGUGGACAUCUGAAUGAUUAGUAGCCUAAUAAC
Molecule: small nucleolar RNA, 123 nt
Organism: Rattus norvegicus (Norway rat)
Lineage: Eukaryota; Metazoa; Chordata; Mammalia; Rodentia; Muridae
Product: small nucleolar RNA SNORA17
Source: Ensembl